This 394-nucleotide ribosomal RNA is filed under the name uncultured Glomus. RNAcentral describes it as "SSU rRNA". It matches the Rfam family "Eukaryotic small subunit ribosomal RNA", at positions 547 to 946 of the family's 1831-position model. Lineage: Eukaryota; Fungi; Glomeromycota; Glomeromycetes; Glomerales; Glomeraceae. The record is from RNAcentral.
UUUGGAGGGCAAGUCUGGUGCCAGCAGCCGCGGUAAUUCCAGCUCCAAUAGCGUAUAUUAAAGUUGUUGCAGUUAAAAAGCUCGUAGUUGAAUUUCGGGAUUAGUACGUCGGUCGUGCCUUAGGUACGUACUGGUGUUACUGGUUCCUACCUUCUGACGAACCAUCAUGUCAUUAAUUUGGUGUGGUGGGGAAUCAGGACUGUUACUUUGAAAAAAUUAGAGUGUUUAAAGCAGGCUCGCGCUUGAAUACAUUAGCAUGGAAUAAUGAAAUAGGACGUUGAUCCUAUUUUGUUGGUUUCUAGGAUUGACGUGAUGAUUAAUAGGGAUAGUUGGGGGCAUUAGUAUUCAAUUGUCAGAGGUGAAAUUCUUGGAUUUANUGAAGACUAACUACUGC